UAGAUAUUUUGUAAACAAAUU
RNAcentral lists this non-coding RNA (21 nucleotides) under Caenorhabditis elegans. The record is from RNAcentral. Lineage: Eukaryota; Metazoa; Nematoda; Chromadorea; Rhabditida; Rhabditidae.